RNAcentral lists this long non-coding RNA (1069 nucleotides) under Helianthus annuus (common sunflower). RNAcentral's name for it is "hypothetical non coding rna". The record is from RNAcentral. Lineage: Eukaryota; Viridiplantae; Streptophyta; Magnoliopsida; Asterales; Asteraceae.
UUUUAUAACCGUUGAAAACUCUGAUUAUCAUAUCUUCUCCGGUCAACAACCCCUUGUUUUUUGUGGUCGUCUUCUUCAUCCUGGCAACGUUAAAUCGAACCCGAAACAUUCUUAUUUAAGGAUUUUCGAAGUUGCAAACCACCUGUUACCAUAUCUAUACCCCCAUAAGUAGUACAAUUCCCCUUCUCCACUAUUGGCCGCCCACCGUCGGUAGUCGAGCAGGUCAACGGCGACUAAAUGACUAGUACUGAGAAACAAAAUAAGUAAUGGGGUGUUGGGAUAGAGGGAGAGGUGGGUUGGUUUGCGUAUUAUUUCUUUCCAUGUGGUGGUUCUAAGUUUAAUAUAUAAUUUUAAUGUUAUUUAAAUAAAAAAGAGAUCAGAUGAUAUAAAUGGCCCUUUUAUGAUUAAGGUUUUAACGUCAGAUAUGAUGGCCUUAGAGCUAGGGGCUGAAAGCGUUAUCAAAAUAAACGUUGAGGCUUAAUAUGUCAAAAGAUUCUUUUUUUUACUAGAACAGUUAAAUUAAGUAUAUCACAGGGGCCAAAAACGUAAUUUAAUCUUGAAUGAGAUACAAUAGGAAAAAUAUAUAAGAAAGAUAAGAAGGAUUUUAGUUCAUUGAUAUCAGAUUUGAAGGGUUGAGAUUAAUUUUAUGGAAAAUAAGAUAGUAGAGGGGUAUAAAAGAAAUCCUAUAUUUAUUGACUCUCUCUCCACACGCAAGGCAUAUGCCAACCCCCCUCCCCAAACAAUUUAAAACGUCUAUAAUUUUUUCAUAUGACAUUUAAAAAAAAUCACCAUAAUAACAAGCGUUUUUAUCUGUAAUAUGAUUAUGAUAUAGAAAAACAAAAUAAAAAAAAUCAUUUUUACUAGGUUUUCUUUGCUUUAUGUUAAAUGUUCAGUCAUUGUGUCUUUUAACUGGGUUUUGGUCAUUACGUUUUACUAGGAUUUCUAUACUUUGUGUUAUUAUCAAACUUAUAAUACAAUGUUAACUUGGGUUAUGUACACUGCGUUUCUAUUAGAACAUAUAACACAAUGUAUGACAAUGAAGAUGGUUCUGCUACCCAUUGUGUUUUAA